This 27-nucleotide unclassified non-coding RNA is filed under the name Mus musculus (house mouse). Its description in RNAcentral is "oocyte_clustered_small_RNA3326". Lineage: Eukaryota; Metazoa; Chordata; Mammalia; Rodentia; Muridae. The record is from RNAcentral.
CUGCAAGAGAGAAAUCUGAGGGUUCUG